Molecule: ribosomal RNA, 293 nt
Filed under: uncultured Bacteroides sp.
Lineage: Bacteria; Pseudomonadati; Bacteroidota; Bacteroidia; Bacteroidales; Bacteroidaceae
Description: partial 16S ribosomal RNA
Rfam family: Bacterial small subunit ribosomal RNA
Source: RNAcentral
ACAUGCAAGUCGAGGGGCAUCAGGAAGAAAGCUUGCUUUCUUUGCUGGCGACCGGCGCACGGGUGAGUAACACGUAUCCAACCUGCCCUUUACUCGGGGAUAGCCUUUCGAAAGAAAGAUUAAUACCGGAUGGUAUAGUUUUCCCGCAUGGGAUGAUUAUUAAAGAAUUUCGGUUGUCGAUGGGGAUGCGUCCCAUUAGCUUGUUGGCGGGGUAACGGCCCACCAAGGCAACGAUGGAUAGGGGUUCUGAGAGGAAGGUCCCCACAUUGGAACUGAGACACGGUCCAAACUCC